RNAcentral lists this ribosomal RNA (400 nucleotides) under uncultured bacterium. RNAcentral's name for it is "bacterial SSU rRNA". It matches the Rfam family "Bacterial small subunit ribosomal RNA", at positions 355 to 772 of the family's 1533-position model. The record is from RNAcentral.
UGGGGAAUCUUGCGCAAUGGGCGAAAGCCUGACGCAGCAACGCCGCGUGCGGGAUGAAGGCCCUCGGGUCGUAAACCGCUUUCAGCAGGGAUGAAACUGACAGUACCUGCAGAAGAAGCCCCGGCUAACUACGUGCCAGCAGCCGCGGUAAUACGUAGGGGGCAAGCGUUAUCCGGAUUCAUUGGGCGUAGAGAGCGCGUAGGCGGCUUGUUUAGUCAGAUGUGAAAACCGGGGGCUCAACCCGCGGCCUGCAUCUGAAACUGACAGGCUUGAGUCUGGUAGAGGAAAGUGGAAUUCCUGGUGUAGCGGUGAAAUGCGCAGAUAUCAGGAGGAACACCAGUGGCGAAGGCGGCUUUCUGGGCCACGACUGACGCUGAGGCGCGAAAGCUAGGGGAGCGAA